CAGUCGCCGCGGGAAUACGUAGGUGGCAAGCGUUGUCCGGAAUUAUUGGGCGUAAAGGGCUCGCAGGCGGUUUCUUAAGUCUGAUGUGAAAGCCCCCGGCUCAACCGGGGAGGGUCAUUGGAAACUGGGAAACCUGAGUGCAGAAGAGGAGAGUGGAAUUCCACGUGUAGCGGUGAAAUGCGUAGAGAUGUGGAGGAACACCAGUGGCGAAGGCGACUCUCUGGUCUGUAACUGACGCUGAGGAGCGAAAGCGUGGGGAGCGAACAGGAUUAGAUACCCCAGUAGUCCCUGUCUCUUAUAC
This 301-nucleotide ribosomal RNA is filed under the name uncultured bacterium. Its description in RNAcentral is "partial 16S ribosomal RNA". It matches the Rfam family "Bacterial small subunit ribosomal RNA", at positions 509 to 807 of the family's 1533-position model. The record is from RNAcentral.